AAAUUGAAGAGUUUGAUCAUGGCUCAGAUUGAACGCUGGCGGCAGGCCUAACACAUGCAAGUCGAACGGUAACAGGAAGAAGCUUGCUUCUUUGCUGACGAGUGGCGGACGGGUGAGUAAUGUCUGGGAAACUGCCUGAUGGAGGGGGAUAACUACUGGAAACGGUAGCUAAUACCGCAUAACGUCGCAAGACCAAAGAGGGGGACCUUCGGGCCUCUUGCCAUCGGAUGUGCCCAGAUGGGAUUAGCUUGUUGGUGGGGUAACGGCUCACCAAGGCGACGAUCCCUAGCUGGUCUGAGAGGAUGACCAGCCACACUGGAACUGAGACACGGUCCAGACUCCUACGGGAGGCAGCAGUGGGGAAUAUUGCACAAUGGGCGCAAGCCUGAUGCAGCCAUGCCGCGUGUAUGAAGAAGGCCUUCGGGUUGUAAAGUACUUUCAGCGGGGAGGAAGGGAGUAAAGUUAAUACCUUUACUCAUUGACGUUACCCGCAGAAGAAGCACCGGCUAACUCCGUGCCAGCAGCCGCGGUAAUACGGAGGGUGCAAGCGUUAAUCGGAAUUACUGGGCGUAAAGCGCACGCAGGCGGUUUGUUAAGUCAGAUGUGAAAUCCCCGGGCUCAACCUGGGAACUGCAUCUGAUACUGGCAAGCUUGAGUCUCGUAGAGGGGGGUAGAAUUCCAGGUGUAGCGGUGAAAUGCGUAGAGAUCUGGAGGAAUACCGGUGGCGAAGGCGGCCCCCUGGACGAAGACUGACGCUCAGGUGCGAAAGCGUGGGGAGCAAACAGGAUUAGAUACCCUGGUAGUCCACGCCGUAAACGAUGUCGACUUGGAGGUUGUGCCCUUGAGGCGUGGCUUCCGGAGCUAACGCGUUAAGUCGACCGCCUGGGGAGUACGGCCGCAAGGUUAAAACUCAAAUGAAUUGACGGGGGCCCGCACAAGCGGUGGAGCAUGUGGUUUAAUUCGAUGCAACGCGAAGAACCUUACCUGGUCUUGACAUCCACAGAACCUUGUAGAGAUACGAGGGUGCCUUCGGGAACUGUGAGACAGGUGCUGCAUGGCUGUCGUCAGCUCGUGUUGUGAAAUGUUGGGUUAAGUCCCGCAACGAGCGCAACCCUUAUCCUUUGUUGCCAGCGGUCCGGCCGGGAACUCAAAGGAGACUGCCAGUGAUAAACUGGAGGAAGGUGGGGAUGACGUCAAGUCAUCAUGGCCCUUACGACCAGGGCUACACACGUGCUACAAUGGCGCAUACAAAGAGAAGCGACCUCGCGAGAGCAAGCGGACCUCAUAAAGUGCGUCGUAGUCCGGAUUGGAGUCUGCAACUCGACUCCAUGAAGUCGGAAUCGCUAGUAAUCGUGGAUCAGAAUGCCACGGUGAAUACGUUCCCGGGCCUUGUACACACCGCCCGUCACACCAUGGGAGUGGGUUGCAAAAGAAGUAGGUAGCUUAACCUUCGGGAGGGCGCUUACCACUUUGUGAUUCAUGACUGGGGUGAAGUCGUAACAAGGUAACCGUAGGGGAACCUGCGGUUGGAUCACCUCCUUA
Molecule: ribosomal RNA, 1542 nt
Filed under: Escherichia coli
Lineage: Bacteria; Pseudomonadati; Pseudomonadota; Gammaproteobacteria; Enterobacterales; Enterobacteriaceae
Description: bacterial SSU rRNA
Rfam family: Bacterial small subunit ribosomal RNA
Source: RNAcentral